GACAGAGGGUGCAAACGUUGCUCGGAAUCACUGGGCGUAAAGGGCGUGUAGGCGGGUAGAUAAGUCGGGCGUGAAAUCCCUAGGCUCAACCUAGGAACUGCACUCGAAACUGUUUAUCUUGAGUGCCGGAGAGGAAAGCGGAAUUCCUGGUGUAGAGGUGAAAUUCGUAGAUAUCAGGAGGAACACCGGUGGCGAAGGCGGGUCUCUGGGCAACAACUGACGCUGAGGAGCGAAAGCGUGGGGAGCGAACAGG
This 253-nucleotide ribosomal RNA is filed under the name uncultured bacterium. RNAcentral describes it as "partial 16S ribosomal RNA". It matches the Rfam family "Bacterial small subunit ribosomal RNA", at positions 524 to 776 of the family's 1533-position model. The record is from RNAcentral.